GACGAACGCUGGCGGCGUGCUUAACACAUGCAAGUCGAACGGAAAGGCCCUGCUUUUGUGGGGUGCUCGAGUGGCGAACGGGUGAGUAACACGUGAGUAACCUGCCCUUGACUUUGGGAUAACUUCAGGAAACUGGGGCUAAUACCGGAUAGGAGCUCCUGCUGCAUGGUGGGGGUUGGAAAGUUUCGGCGGUUGGGGAUGGACUCGCGGCUUAUCAGCUUGUUGGUGGGGUAGUGGCUUACCAAGGCUUUGACGGGUAGCCGGCCUGAGAGGGUGACCGGCCACAUUGGGACUGAGAUACGGCCCAGACUCCUACGGGAGGCAGCAGUGGGGAAUAUUGCACAAUGGGCGGAAGCCUGAUGCAGCAACGCCGCGUGCGGGAUGACGGCCUUCGGGUUGUAAACCGCUUUCGCCUGUGACGAAGCGUGAGUGACGGUAAUGGGUAAAGAAGCACCGGCUAACUACGUGCCAGCAGCCGCGGUGAUACGUAGGGUGCGAGCGUUGUCCGGAUUUAUUGGGCGUAAAGGGCUCGUAGGUGGUUGAUCGCGUCGGAAGUGUAAUCUUGGGGCUUAACCCUGAGCGUGCUUUCGAUACGGGUUGACUUGAGGAAGGUAGGGGAGAAUGGAAUUCCUGGUGGAGCGGUGGAAUGCGCAGAUAUCAGGAGGAACACCAGUGGCGAAGGCGGUUCUCUGGGCCUUUCCUGACGCUGAGGAGCGAAAGCGUGGGGAGCGAACAGGCUUAGAUACCCUGGUAGUCCACGCUGUAAACGGUGGGUACUAGGUGUGGGGUCCAUUCCACGGGUUCCGUGCCGUAGCUAACGCUUUAAGUACCCCGCCUGGGGAGUACGGCCGCAAGGCUAAAACUCAAAGGAAUUGACGGGGCCCCGCACAAGCGGCGGAGCAUGCGGAUUAAUUCGAUGCAACGCGUAGAACCUUACCUGGGUUUGACAUGAAUCGGGGGCGCUCAGAGAUGGGUGUGCCUCUUUUGGGGUCGGUUCACAGGUGGUGCAUGGCUGUCGUCAGCUCGUGUCGUGAGAUGUUGGGUUAAGUCCCGCAACGAGCGCAACCCUUGUUCACUGUUGCCAGCACGUUAUGGUGGGGACUCAGUGGAGACCGCCGGGGUCAACUCGGAGGAAGGUGGGGAUGACGUCAAGUCAUCAUGCCCCUUAUGUCCAGGGCUUCACGCAUGCUACAAUGGCUGGUACAGAGAGUGGCGAGCCUGUGAGGGUGAGCGAAUCUCGGAAAGCCGGUCUCAGUUCGGAUUGGGGUCUGCAACUCGACCUCAUGAAGUCGGAGUCGCUAGUAAUCGCAGAUCAGCAACGCUGCGGUGAAUACGUUCCCGGG
RNAcentral lists this ribosomal RNA (1343 nucleotides) under uncultured bacterium. RNAcentral describes it as "16S ribosomal RNA". It matches the Rfam family "Bacterial small subunit ribosomal RNA", at positions 28 to 1378 of the family's 1533-position model. The record is from RNAcentral.